Molecule: ribosomal RNA, 251 nt
Filed under: uncultured bacterium
Lineage: Bacteria
Description: partial 16S ribosomal RNA
Rfam family: Bacterial small subunit ribosomal RNA
Source: RNAcentral
UACGUAGGUGACCAGCGUUGUCCGGAUUUACUGGGCGUAAAGAGCGCGCAGGCGGUCGGUCAAGUCGAGUGUGAAAGCCCCCGGCUCAACUGGGGAGGGUCAUUCGAUACUGAUCGACUGGAAGGCAGGAGAGGGAAGCGGAAUUCCCGGUGUAGUGGUGAAAUGCGUAGAUAUCGGGAGGAACACCAGUGGCGAAGGCGGCUUCCUGGCCUUCUUGACGCUGAGGCGCGAAAGCUAGGGGAGCAAACGGG